Molecule: long non-coding RNA, 419 nt
Organism: Eupeodes corollae
Lineage: Eukaryota; Metazoa; Arthropoda; Insecta; Diptera; Syrphidae
Exons: 2
Source: RefSeq, a predicted model, not a curated record
UAUUAGCAGUCCGUUCGAUGAACUUGAGCAAAUUGAUUGAAUCAAAAUUCUACGAAUAUAAAUAGUUGCUGAAUUGAUCUUCAAAUUAACAGAUUCUUAGAAGAAUUCAACCAGUUCACAUCAAACUUCUAUUCAAAAUGAAAUCCUUCCUUAUCACACUUUUGGUAUGCUUUGCCAUCGUUCUCUCAAUGGCUGCUGCUGCUCCAUCCGAAGAAGGAAUUUUCGGUGACUUACCCGACAGCGAUAUUGCCAAUCCACAAGAGCCCAAUGAAUCACUGAAGUUGUUGCUGCUGAAGAAAUUGAAGCUUAAGCUGUUGAGAGGUUAAGCUGCUCACAGACAAUUGUUAUUAAAUGCCUUAAGUUCACAAAGAUUAUUUUUAAGUUAUUGUUACAAUAAAUUUAUUUUAUACAAAAUUGAA